CAGCUUUGUGAGUCUCACACAAAAUUUUCAUCAAUCCAUAACCCCAAGACUGGGGGCAGCUUUGCAAAUCUCAUUUGAAAUUUUCUCACCCUAACUUUCAUGGAUCCAAACCCCAGCUCAUUUUCCAUAACAUCAAGCUGGGGCNCCCUUUGUGUAUCUCGUGUUCACCCUGACAUUCUCAUAUCAAAUCUCCUUUGAGGAUUAUAUGAGGAAUGACUUCUCCAUAUAGUUAUCCCAUUCUCCUCUAAACCCUUCUAAACAUCUC
This 265-nucleotide long non-coding RNA is filed under the name Vigna radiata. Its description in RNAcentral is "long non-coding RNA (VRAD_LNC017917)". The record is from RNAcentral. Lineage: Eukaryota; Viridiplantae; Streptophyta; Magnoliopsida; Fabales; Fabaceae.